Molecule: non-coding RNA, 346 nt
Filed under: Hafnia alvei
Lineage: Bacteria; Pseudomonadati; Pseudomonadota; Gammaproteobacteria; Enterobacterales; Hafniaceae
Source: RNAcentral
GAGCAGGACACAUCAGGAUGAUGUUGCUUCAGGAUGAAGUGAAGGACACACUCAGGAAGAGUGAUAAAGGAUGUGCCACAGGACGUUGGCCAAGGAUACUUCAGGAUGAAGUCAGGGACACCUCCAGGACGGAGAUUGAGAGCCAGUUAGGAUAACAGGCGGGUCAGGAAGACUGAGGAACAGCAUCAGGAUGAUGCAGGAUGAAAGUUGGACGAUACGACGGAUUGUCGGGAAAUGGAUAGCCGUACGGAAAAGUUUUCACGGAUGAGCAGGGAGCACAAUGAGUAGCUGGAUUGCUAUAAAACGAACCGGGCGUACUGUGUAAAAACAGUACGCCCUUUUUUUU